RNAcentral lists this ribosomal RNA (922 nucleotides) under Poaceascoma sp. RNAcentral's name for it is "partial large subunit ribosomal RNA". It matches the Rfam family "Eukaryotic large subunit ribosomal RNA", at positions 34 to 969 of the family's 3401-position model. Lineage: Eukaryota; Fungi; Ascomycota; Dothideomycetes; Pleosporales; Lentitheciaceae. The record is from RNAcentral.
UUAAGCAUAUCAAUAAGCGGAGGAAAAGAAACCAACUGGGAUUGCCCUAGUAACGGCGAGUGAAGCGGCAACAGCUCAAAUUUGAAAUCUGGCCUCCUUCGGUGGUCCGAGUUGUAAUUUGCAGAGGGUGCUUUGGCGUUGGCAGCGGUCUAAGUUCCUUGGAACAGGACGUCACAGAGGGUGAGAAUCCCGUACGUGGUCGCCCGCCUCCGCCGUGUAAAGCCCCUUCGACGAGUCGAGUUGUUUGGGAAUGCAGCUCUAAAUGGGAGGUAAAUUUCUUCUAAAGCUAAAUACCGGCCAGAGACCGAUAGCGCACAAGUAGAGUGAUCGAAAGAUGAAAAGCACUUUGGAAAGAGAGUCAAAAAGCACGUGAAAUUGUUGAAAGGGAAGCGCUUGCAGCCAGACUUGCCCGUAGUUGCUCACCCGGACUUUUGCCCGGGGCAUUCUUCUGCGGGCAGGCCAGCAUCAGUUUGGGCGACCGGAUAACGGCCUCUGUCACGUACCAUCCUUCGGGAUGGCCUUAUAGGGGAGGCGUAAUGCGGCCAGCCUGGACUGAGGUCCGCGCAUCUGCUAGGAUGCUGGCGUAAUGGCUGUAAGCGGCCCGUCUUGAAACACGGACCAAGGAGUCUAACAUCUAUGCGAGUGUUUGGGUGUCAAGCCCGGGCGCGCAAUGAAAGUGAACGGAGGUGGGAACCCUCUCGGGGGUGCACCAUCGACCGAUCCUGAUGUUCUCGGAUGGAUUUGAGUAAGAGCAUAGCUGUUGGGACCCGAAAGAUGGUGAACUAUGCUUGAAUAGGGUGAAGCCAGAGGAAACUCUGGUGGAGGCUCGCAGCGGUUCUGACGUGCAAAUCGAUCGUCAAAUUUGGGCAUAGGGGCGAAAGACNUAAUCGAACUAUCUAGUAGCUGGUUCCUGCCGAAGUCU